RNAcentral lists this long non-coding RNA (1066 nucleotides) under Panax ginseng (ginseng). RNAcentral describes it as "long non-coding RNA (PGIN_LNC004228)". Lineage: Eukaryota; Viridiplantae; Streptophyta; Magnoliopsida; Apiales; Araliaceae. The record is from RNAcentral.
UACAUUUAAUUGCUAUGUACAAAAAUGCCCAUGAAAUUAUAUGUGAAAUUACCAAAAUACCCUUUUAGUGUAUUAUUAGUUAUAUUAUUUAUGGAAUUUUAAAAUCUAAAGUGAUAAACCCUAAUGGUUAUGGAUAAUGUCUAUAAUGCCCUUCAUGGUAGACAUGAGAAGUCUAAACUACCCUUGUGCAUUAUUAAAGGAAGAAACCAAUUAUUAGAGUGGAAAUGACUAAAAUGCCCUUUUUGUCCAUUUAGUGUAUUAUUAGUGUAUUAUUGGAGGAAUCUAGCAACAAAUCAUGGCCAACAUCACUACCCUACCAAUUGAGCAUCCAAGACUCAAUUAUGCUCAGAUUCAAUCAACCAAUCUAGCAUCCAAGGCAUUUGAAUUAUUCUAUAAAUAGAUUGGAGAGAGUUAGCAUUUUUUGUACACUAAAAUUCAUCCAACUCUCAUCCUUAAGCUUCUCUCUCUAAAACCUACGAAUUAUUGUAGCAUAUCAGUCCCUAAACAAAGCCCAACCAUCACAAACAACAAAUCAGAAGCAUCAAGAAGCCAGAAAUCAAAAAUCAAGCUUGAAAAGGUAGGAAAUCCUAAAUUCUAGAAAUCCUUCGAUUCGAUGUUAAUUGAUGCAAUUGAUUGUUUAAAGUAGUGUAAUAGAGAGUCUAUUAAUGUUCUGGGUUGUAAAAUCAUGAACCCAUAACAUCAAAGUGCACGAAUUUGAAGAUUUAAACAAGUUGGAAAAACCGAAUUCUGUUAUUUUUCACCAAAUGUCAGAGGCUAUAACUCUUUGGUCGAUCACGAGUUUUGUUGUUUAAAAGUUGUUAUAGGUAGCCUGAUAUGUGGUCUUUAAUCUCCAAAAGGAAUAAAGUUCAUAGCUAUUGUAGAUCGGGAUUUAUAAGCGGUCAAAGUGGGUUGACCGGCAUUGACCGGCUGUUCUUCAAACCCAGAAAAUAUUCUAAGUGUCCAGAAAAUAUUAUUUUGGAAAAUGUCAGGCCUUAUAUCUCGGUUAUCUUUAAUGUGUUUUGUGUUCUAAAGGUUGAUAUGUGUAUCUUGUUAUGUGGUAUUUAAC